Rosa rugosa (rugosa rose) is the source of this 802-nucleotide long non-coding RNA. RefSeq lists it as uncharacterized. The transcript has 4 exons. Lineage: Eukaryota; Viridiplantae; Streptophyta; Magnoliopsida; Rosales; Rosaceae. The record is from RefSeq and is a predicted model, not a curated record.
AAGGUUAUAUUAAUUGAUUUCUAGAAUCAGUUCAUAUCUUUAUUUUUCUUUAUGUGAUUGCAGCUAGAUGUGCAAUACCUUCAUGUUAAUGCAGCUAUUGAUUCCAGCAUAGGCCUUAACCCAGCCCCUCUUUUAGAGUUAUCAGCAACAAUUGGAAGUAAGGAUCUUAGGAAGGUUGAUGAAAUUGGAAUUCAAGUCCUUAUUAGAUUAACAGGACGGGUGAGCAAUUAAGGAAGAAUUGAUUGAAGCUGUGAGGAAUUAAGGAGCAUAUUGAACAAAGCUUUAAGUAAAGUUGAGAGUUCAUAGGCAACGGUGAAGCAAACCACUGAAUUACUUCGCUCGGUGUGCGUAUACCCUACACAGAUCAAGUUGGGGCUUUGAUUGAUGUUGCAAAGGUAGCUGGGGAGUAGCUGAUUGCUGCAAAUCUAUGGGUAAGGUGCGUGGAAUGUUACAUGAGAGUUGCAGUGGUCAUGAGAAUGCAGUAUAUAUGUUUAAAUUAGUAGAUUUUGUCAGUAGUACAGAGGUCAUUGAUGUUACUAAGACAUCAUUGCUGCAAAUAUGUGGGUAGGUGCAUGGAAUGUUACAUGAGUUGCAGUCGUCAUGAGAAUGCAGUAUCCUCCUUAAAUUAAUAGAUUUUCCCAUUAGUACAAAGGUCAUUUAUUUUUUUUCCUUAUAUUGUUUUUGGGGUGCAGGACAUUUAAAAUCAUAAACUUUAUUGACGAAAUAAAGAAGAAUACAUCUACAAGUUUUAAGAGUUGUGAAGACUAUUGACAAACAAAGUGAGGUGGUUUGCUUCCAAAAA